GGGGCCUUAGCUCAGCUGGCAGAGCGCCUGCUUUGCAAGCAGGAAGUCAGGGGUUCGAAUCCCCUAGGCUCCA
Transfer RNA from Microbispora sp. ATCC PTA-5024, 73 nucleotides. It matches the Rfam family "tRNA". From Rfam's summary of the family: Transfer RNA (tRNA) molecules are approximately 80 nucleotides in length. Their secondary structure includes four short double-helical elements and three loops (D, anti-codon, and T loops). Lineage: Bacteria; Bacillati; Actinomycetota; Actinomycetes; Streptosporangiales; Streptosporangiaceae. The record is from Rfam.